This is a long non-coding RNA of Phasianus colchicus (ring-necked pheasant), 344 nucleotides long. RefSeq lists it as uncharacterized. The record is from RefSeq and is a predicted model, not a curated record. NCBI's taxonomy places the organism in Eukaryota, Metazoa, Chordata, Aves, Galliformes, Phasianidae.
UUCCACUCUCCUUCAGAAGCCUGGUUCUUUCUCAUGGCCAUCGCUCCAUAAGCCACCUCUGGGACCCAUUGCUGUUUCAGUGCCAACAAGAUGCUGGGUACCAGAACAGUUCCCAAGAUCUUUCUGGCCUCCAACCCAGAACGCUGAGCCAGGCUGGGAGACAGCUAUACACAAGGGACAGCUGAAGGAGUUACCUGGGCACUUCCAUUCCCUCCAUAUUUUUCCAGUUUCAGCCGUGGUGUGAGUGGGAGAUAAGAACUGUACACUUGUUGUAAGCAACUCGGUGUGAUGUGAUCCUGAAACGCUACAAUGCUUACCACUGCAUUAAAACCAACUGGCAAGAA